GUGACUCUGGAGAAGCUCUCAAUGGAGUGCCGAAGGUGCAAAGCGGCCCAGCCGCCAAUCUCUCAGGCAAAAGGACAGAGGUA
Molecule: non-coding RNA, 83 nt
Filed under: uncultured Lawsonibacter sp.
Lineage: Bacteria; Bacillati; Bacillota; Clostridia; Eubacteriales; Oscillospiraceae
Description: Glycine riboswitch
Rfam family: Glycine riboswitch aptamer
About the family: This family represents the bacterial glycine riboswitch. Glycine riboswitches usually consist of two metabolite-binding aptamers domains with similar structures in tandem.
Source: RNAcentral